GCGGAUACUUCAUCCUCAAACUCUUUGGAGGUUUUGUACAGUUACACCAUCUUUACUAUCUUAUCUUGCUCCUUUAUUUAUCUUUUCAAGGCCUCGAUGGCCUCCUCAUGAGCUUCAUUAGCUUUUUCCACCUCUUUAAGCUUCGGUUCCAGUUCUUUAUUUUUCUCGAUGACAGUGUGCAUGUCAAAGAUCUUCUUUUCCUGCUCGUUUAUUUUUCGCUGAAGG
RNAcentral lists this long non-coding RNA (225 nucleotides) under Elaeis guineensis (African oil palm). RNAcentral's name for it is "long non-coding RNA (EGUI_LNC006347)". The record is from RNAcentral. Lineage: Eukaryota; Viridiplantae; Streptophyta; Magnoliopsida; Arecales; Arecaceae.